This 637-nucleotide long non-coding RNA is filed under the name Pan troglodytes (chimpanzee). RNAcentral describes it as "long non-coding RNA NONPTRT005157". Lineage: Eukaryota; Metazoa; Chordata; Mammalia; Primates; Hominidae. The record is from RNAcentral.
CGCACUUGCCAUAAUGAGUUUUCUUUUGUUCCUUCCCUCUAGUAUUCUAGGAGAUGAGGUUUUGGGAAUCUGGUCCAGACAUGCUGAGAAAGCUGAUGUCAACUGUGCCUGUGUAUCUCAUUCAGGAAUCAGUCUUGUUACAGGAGAUGACUUUGGCAUGGUUAAGUUAUUUGACUUCCCAUGUCCAGAAAAAUUUGCAAAACACAAAAGGUUCUUGGGUCAUUCGCCCCAUGUGACAAAUAUUCGAUUUACCAGUGGUGAUCGACAUGUUGUUAGUGCUGGAGGUGAUGACUGCAGCUUAUUUGUCUGGAAAUGUGUACAUACACCUCACUGAGAGAUGCUGAGAUGACUACAGAAAUUAACUUUGAGACCAGAAUUACAGAGAAGAAAAACCAAAACCCAACCCUGCAUGGUCAAGUGGUGCUAACCCAAGACUGUAACAGGGAGAAAUGCCCAGAAUCAUCAAAAUAGUGAAAGACUGAUCUGUUCAAAAUAUUUGCUAUAUGCACUGGGUAUAAUCCGUAAUCCAUACACUGCCAGAUAAUGCCAUUUCAAGGAAGGAUCGAAUACUUGAUGGUAAAGGCCAAGUCCCCCUGUAUUGGGAAGUGUGUGAUUUCGGCAGACCUGCUGGGAAAAU